Molecule: small nucleolar RNA, 68 nt
Organism: Megalobrama amblycephala (Wuchang bream)
Lineage: Eukaryota; Metazoa; Chordata; Actinopteri; Cypriniformes; Xenocyprididae
Product: small nucleolar RNA SNORD58
Exons: 1
Source: RefSeq, a predicted model, not a curated record
CUGUUAUGAUGACAUCUUAGGACACCUUUGAACUAAGAAUGAAAAGAAUACGUUGUUUUCUGAGCAGC